Molecule: long non-coding RNA, 1604 nt
Organism: Nymphalis io (European peacock)
Lineage: Eukaryota; Metazoa; Arthropoda; Insecta; Lepidoptera; Nymphalidae
Exons: 2
Source: RefSeq, a predicted model, not a curated record
UUAUUUAAUUUAAAGGUUAUUAUUAAAAAUAUUUUUCAUAAGAAAUUACAUUGCAACCUUUAAGUUGAAUUAUUGUUAUUAUAUUAUAAGAUUUUUUAAGGAAAUUCAGUGAUUAUAAAAAGACAAAAUCCAAUUGUGUAUAACACAAUAAUAUAAAUUAUCAAUAUUUCAAUUAUUAUGUUCAUUUUAUCAUUAUUCUGUGUUAACAUAAUUAAAAAAAGAUAAAAAGUAAUAAAAUUGUAUUAAACUUUGAAUGUAAUUUUUAAAUGUAAUGUUUUUAUUAUUAUUUUUAUAAAUGAAUUCAAUUAAAACUAAUUAAUUUUAUUAAAAUAUUUUAGGAAUUAUAAGUGAUGUCAAAAUUUACAACAUAAAAACUGUAACCACAAACGUCUGUAUUUUAUCAAUUAGCAACUAAUUGUGAAAACAAUUUAUAAUAAUAGACGUAAUGGUGUUUGCUCUUUGUGAUUUAAACCGAAUAAUAUACAUCCUGCUAUAAUUUGUACAUCAUUGUGUGAACAAGCAAAAUGUUUGUUCACAUAUUCUAUUAUAAAGGUAAAUAAGCGUAAUGCCGAGCAAUUUCUCGACAGAUACACAACUGUUGAUUAACAUUCAUUAAAUUUCAUUAAACACAUUGUCAGUAUUACACUUUUCAUACAAUUACAUAUUAGUUGCGCCAUGCAAUGCAAAUUAUCAUCACGAGUAAUAUUACGAAUUAGUAUAAUAUAUUCGUUUUAUUUAUAUAUAUUUAUAUAAGCUAGUCAUAGUUCUAAAGAUAAAAAAGAUAAUAAAAAAAGUGAAUAGCAGGCUUUAGGAAAAAUAGAUUUGAUUAAUUUCAACGUUCAAGAUAGCAUAAUUAGUUUGGGUGACCCUGACUUCCUGAUACCAUACUGCAUGAUAUUAAACAAAAUGUUGCGUAAAAAUAUUAAUAAAUAAGUACAGUACCUAGAUUUAACGAAAUAAAUAAAUGAAAAAGAUUUUAUUUUUCUUUUACACAAAGUCACAAAAAUUUUACUACUUUUAUACUGUAUAUAGAAUUAUUUUUAUUUUGAUUAAAUGAUAUAGGUGUUUCUUUAUGUAUUAUAUAUAUGUGAAAGUUAUUCUUAAAUAAAAAUUUAAGUAUCACUGGACUAAAUUAAAACUGCUAAUAAUGCUUACCUUAACUUUAUUAUCAUAAUUUAGAAAAAAAACAAUGUAUGAAAUGUGUUACCCAAUUCAAAAGUUUGAAUGUUAUUAAAUAAUAAAUUAUCAUUUAUCGUAUGCAAGCACCUUUUUAGCUAUUUUAGCGUUUAAAGUUUCAAGUGUAGAUAUAAAAAAAUUAUUAAUUAAAAUUAUGACCAUUAUAAUUAAAUUUAUCUCGCUUUUAGACUAGGUUAAUGUACCUAUAGAUUUAUAGAACGAUUGUCAGACCAAAUGAAUGGCCUAUAGGUAUUAAGUGAAAUGGUGCUAUACUCCCUUAGAUUUUGAUCUCAUAUCAGCAUGUGAGUGUGUACUUGUUGCUAAUAUGUAUUGCGUUAUUUACUCCAACUAUCGUUAUUGGUUGUGUUACAUAAUGUUAAAAAAAUAUUCAUAGUACUUAUAAAGAAAUAAAUAUCUGUUUAAAUUAA